UACAGAGGUCUCAAGCGUUGUUCGGAUUCAUUGGGCGUAAAGGGUGCGUAGGCGGUGUGUCGCGUCGGCCGUGAAAACCUGCAGCUUAACUGUGGGCUUGCGGUCGAUACGGGCAUCACUGGAGUUCGGCAGGGGAGACUGGAAUUCCUGGUGUAGCGGUGAAAUGCGCAGAUAUCAGGAGGAACACCGGUGGCGAAGGCGGGUCUCUGGGCCGAUACUGACGCUGAGGAGCGAAAGCGUGGGGAGCGAACAGG
Molecule: ribosomal RNA, 254 nt
Filed under: uncultured bacterium
Lineage: Bacteria
Description: partial 16S ribosomal RNA
Rfam family: Bacterial small subunit ribosomal RNA
Source: RNAcentral